This 465-nucleotide ribosomal RNA is filed under the name uncultured bacterium. RNAcentral describes it as "bacterial SSU rRNA". It matches the Rfam family "Bacterial small subunit ribosomal RNA", at positions 30 to 491 of the family's 1533-position model. The record is from RNAcentral.
AUUGAACGCUGGCGGAAUGCUUUACACAUGCAAGUCGAACGGUAGAGGGGGCAACCCCUUGAGAGUGGCGAACGGGUGAGUAAUAUAUCGGAACGUGCCCAGUCGUGGGGGAUAACGUAGCGAAAGUUACGCUAAUACCGCAUACGAUCUACGGAUGAAAGCGGGGGACUCGCAAGAGCCUCGCGCGAUUGGAGCGGCCGAUAUCAGAUUAGGUAGUUGGUGGGGUAAAGGCUCACCAAGCCAACGAUCUGUAGCUGGUCUGAGAGGACGACCAGCCACACUGGAACCUGAGACACGGUCCAGACUCCUACGGGAGGCAGCAGUGGGGAAUUUUGGACAAUGGACGCAAGUCUGAUCCAGCCAUUCCGCGUGCAGGAUGAAGGCCCUCGGGUUGUAAACUGCUUUGUACGGAACGAAAGGUUUCUCUUAAUACGAGGAGCUCAUGACGGUACCGUAAGAAUAAGC